UUUUUAUGGAGAUGAGGCGAGGGACUGGCCCGAAGACCCUCAGCCAACCUCUUCCGCCAGGAAGGAAGGUGGCAAAGCCAGAGUCAGGAGCAACCUGACGACGAUAAGCG
Molecule: non-coding RNA, 110 nt
Filed under: Candidatus Aminicenantota
Lineage: Bacteria
Description: Candidatus Aminicenantes SAM-I sequence
Rfam family: SAM riboswitch aptamer (S box leader)
About the family: The SAM riboswitch is found upstream of a number of genes which code for proteins involved in methionine or cysteine biosynthesis in Gram-positive bacteria. The SAM riboswitch acts at the level of transcription termination control.
Source: RNAcentral